GAGUUUGAUCCUGGCUCAGGACGAACGCUGGCGGCGUGCUUAACACAUGCAAGUCGAACGAGGUCCAACCAGUGGCAACACUGGGGCAGACCUAGUGGCGAACGGGUGAGUAACACGUGAGAAACCUGCCCCGGAGUCCGGAAUAACCCUCCGAAAGGAGAGCUAAUACCGGAUACCCCCACCGCAUCGCAUGGUGUGGUGAGGAAAGGAUCCCGCUUCGGGAGGGUCUCGCGGCCUAUCAGCUUGUUGGUGGGGUAACGGCCUACCAAGGCGUCGACGGGUAGCUGGUCUGAGAGGACGAUCAGCCACACUGGGACUGAGACACGGCCCAGACUCCUACGGGAGGCAGCAGUGGGGAAUCUUGCGCAAUGGGCGAAAGCCUGACSCAGCAACGCCGCGUGGGGGAUGAAGGCUCUCGGGUUGUAAACCCCUUUCAGCAGGGACGAUAAUGACGGUACCUGCAGAAGAAGCCCCGGCCAACUACGUGCCAGCAGCCGCGGUAAUAC
This 506-nucleotide ribosomal RNA is filed under the name uncultured bacterium. RNAcentral describes it as "bacterial SSU rRNA". It matches the Rfam family "Bacterial small subunit ribosomal RNA", at positions 9 to 526 of the family's 1533-position model. The record is from RNAcentral.